Molecule: long non-coding RNA, 1051 nt
Organism: Phymastichus coffea
Lineage: Eukaryota; Metazoa; Arthropoda; Insecta; Hymenoptera; Eulophidae
Exons: 3
Source: RefSeq, a predicted model, not a curated record
GCUCCUCUUAAUUAUAUUGAAGUUGAACACGUAAGAAAAUUGAUUUAUGAUCCAGAAGCUGUAAAAAGUCAUCCAGUAAAAACGUCGAUGCCAAUAGAUGUUCGAAGAAGAAAUUAAUCUUGACACCGUUCUUCAGGCCUGGUGAUUGCAGAUUAUGAUAGCAAGAAAUAAUUCGCUACAUGAUAUUAAGCUAAACAUGAUCUACUUGUAAACGAGGAUCUAUGAGUUCAAAAAUUUAAUACAUCGAAUUACCUCAUGAAAAAAUUCCUCUUAAAUUGGCACUAGCAAUGUUAACUCAAUUUUAUGCAUCGCUUUAUGUCACUUUGGGCUUAAGUUAAAAUUGGUAAAUUGUUACAAUAUGCAUAUAUAAAGUAUUAUUGAAAAAAUAUAUAUUACUUAUAGUAAAUUUGACCGCGGAUCGAAAAUUGGCUACAAAACUAUACUUCUGAUAUAAAAAAUAUUUGGUCUGGAUUCUAGUUUGAUGUUGCCAUAUUUGUUAACUUACAUGCAGAAUAGUGUGAAGUCAAAAGAAGGACGUAGGAUAGGAUACGGAAUAAGAUACAGUGAUCUCUGGAAAAAUAACAUCAUGUUCAACCAUAGCAAUGAGCGUGUCAUGCUAGAUUAUCAAAUGUUGCGAUACGCUUCACCAGCUGUGGAUGUUGCUACGUUGGUUCACUUCAAUACGACGUCAGAAUUUCAGAAGACGAGAAAUUGAAAUUUUCAAACGCUAUUAUUCACUGUUUCAAAAGAUAUUAUGAAAUACAAAUGGGAAAUUCUAAAACCCUUUCAUGAGUACAUGUUAUUACUAUUAUUAGAUUAUGACUUAAAAGAAUUAUUAUAUAACGAGGAUAUUUGGAUCAUGGGAUACUAUAUGGAAUUAUAUACGCUGCAUUAUAUCUGCCUGGUAUUUAUUCAACUCAAUCAUUUUUUUAAAUUACUCAUUAUUCCAAAUGCACUUUCGUUUAAGUGUCGGUAUUCAAAAAUAUUGUAAUAAUUGUAGACAUGAAAUUGAUAAUCACACAUUUAUAUUAAAAAUAUGUUAAGUUUGAAU